AACUAGCCCCGAUUGUAACGUAAAUCCUUUUUCUUUUCUUUCGGAAAAGAAAAAGAUUGCAGUGGAAAGCGGGAAACAGC
This 80-nucleotide small RNA is filed under the name Flavobacteriaceae bacterium 3519-10. Its description in RNAcentral is "Flavo-1 RNA". It matches the Rfam family "Flavo-1 RNA". The record is from Rfam by way of RNAcentral. Lineage: Bacteria; Pseudomonadati; Bacteroidota; Flavobacteriia; Flavobacteriales; Flavobacteriaceae.